Molecule: ribosomal RNA, 497 nt
Filed under: uncultured bacterium
Lineage: Bacteria
Description: partial 16S ribosomal RNA
Rfam family: Bacterial small subunit ribosomal RNA
Source: RNAcentral
GAUGAACGCUGGCGGCGUGCCUAAUACAUGCAAGUCGAGCGAACGGACGAGAAGCUUGCUUCUCUGAUGUUAGCGGCGGACGGGUGAGUAACACGUGGAUAACCUACCUAUAAGACUGGGAUAACUUCGGGAAACCGGAGCUAAUACCGGAUGAUAUUUUGAGCCGCAUGGUUCAAAAGUGAAAGACGGUCUUGCUGUCACUUAUAGAUGGAUCCGCGCUGCAUUAGCUAGUUGGUAAGGUAACGGCUUACCAAGGCAACGAUGCAUAGCCGACCUGAGAGGGUGAUCGGCCACACUGGAACUGAGACACGGUCCAGACUCCUACGGGAGGCAGCAGUAGGGAAUCUUCCGCAAUGGGCGAAAGCCUGACGGAGCAACGCCGAGUGAGUGAUGAAGGUCUUCGGAUCGUAAAACUCUGUUAUUAGGGAAGAACAUAUGUGUAAGUAACUGUGCACAUCUUGACGGUACCUAAUCAGAAAGCCACGGCUAACUACGUG